Molecule: ribosomal RNA, 492 nt
Filed under: uncultured bacterium
Lineage: Bacteria
Description: partial 16S ribosomal RNA
Rfam family: Bacterial small subunit ribosomal RNA
Source: RNAcentral
AGUGAACGCUGGCGGUAGGCCUAACACAUGCAAGUCGAACGGCAGCACAGUAAGAGCUUGCUCUUACGGGUGGCGAGUGGCGGACGGGUGAGGGAUACAUCGGAAUCUACUUUUUCGUGGGGGAUAACGUAGGGAAACUUACGCUAAUACCGCAUACGACCUACGGGUGAAAGCAGGGGAUCUUCGGACCUUGCGCGAUUGAAUGAGCCGAUGUCGGAUUAGCUAGUUGGCGGGGUAAAGGCCCACCAAGGCGACGAUCCGUAGCUGGUCGGAGAGGAUGGUCAGCCGCACUGGAACGGAGACACGGACCAGGCUCCUACGGGAGGCAGCAGUGGGGAAUAGUGGACAAUGGGCGCAAGCCUUAUCCAGCCAUACCGCGUGGGUGAAGAAGGCCUUCGGGUUGUAAAGCCCUUUUGUUGGGAAAGAAAAGCAUCAGGUUAAUACCCCGCUGUUCUGACGGUACCCAAAGAAUAAGCACCGGCUAACUUCGUG